This 2211-nucleotide long non-coding RNA is filed under the name Triticum aestivum (bread wheat). Its description in RNAcentral is "long non-coding RNA (TAES_LNC006857)". Lineage: Eukaryota; Viridiplantae; Streptophyta; Magnoliopsida; Poales; Poaceae. The record is from RNAcentral.
GUCCGCCGCUGCUCCCACCGCGCCCGCCUCCAACGCCGUGGCGGCACCGACCGCCCCCUCGCUGUUCCCCUCCAGCUUUCGGCAGCUCUAGGCUAGGGUUCGUGCCCUCGACCCCUUCUUCUUUUUCCUCAUGGAUGACACCUCUUGCCACUUGAUCGCGUUGUAUGUGUGUGCACUUAGGUCUUCCAUUCUGUAGGCUCAGGAUUAGUAAUGCAAGGGGAUCUGUGUCAAACUCGUCACAUUCUAGCAAAUGAUUUUCUCUUCUGUUGGCUGAAAUUGCUUCCUGGUUUGUAUCCUCAAUAUUGAUAAUGCAAUGGAGUCUGUCAAAUUCUGUUAUCCACAUUCUUGCACAUGGAUUGAUUCGUUGGAAUUAUUCAUAUCAUUAUAUGACACCAAUGCAAGAUUACAGAGACGAAUUUGAAGUACAGUCUACUUAUUUGGAUCACAUGUAUAACUGUGAACUCCACGUUUAAGUGGCUCCAAACAUGCCCAUGAGUAAAAUUGUUGUUAUUUCAAUGUUCCUUGUUCUGGAGGCAUCCCAAUUAGUAGCUCUCCUUUAUCAUUCGUCUGGUUGUGGUGUAGGCACAUGUGUUUCAAUCGCUGCUAGAUUCAUCAUAGUCAAGGACUGAGAAUUUGAGCUUACCCUUUGUUAUGUUAUUCUUUCUUUAUCACUGACGUUUCUACAGUAGUAAAAUUAUCACCAAGUUAGCUCAUUGUUCUUGAACAAAGGUGGAAGCAAAUGGAAAUAACACAGUUAGCCGGAAUGCCCCUCACCAGUGGUUGUAAGGUUUGGUUGCAUCAUGGUUGUAAGGUUUGGCUGCAUCAUUAUUGUGAGAUUUCAAAUACUUUACAAAGCCAGCCUAUGCUCCUCCCCGAUAGUGUGUGCGGGCUGGCCUGCCCAUCGUAAAAUUGUUGAGUUCGACAUUUUAACUACAGGGAGCAUGCUCAUGAGCAUAGUUGUUAUGUCAAUGUUCUUUGCUCUAGACUAGAGGCAUCGUAAUUAGUAGUUCUUCUUUGUCAUUGGUUUGGUUGAGGUACAUGCACGGAUGUUCCAACAACUGCUGGAUAUAUCGUAUUCAAGGACAGCAUUCGAGUUCACCCUUUAUCAAGUUAUUGUUUUCUUUAUCACUCUGGGAUUAAAGGUGAAAAUGCUUUACAAAUCCAACACAUGCUUCUCACUGGUGGUGUAUUCAAGUUGGCCUGCCCAUCGUAUUUUUCAUCUUGUUCUGGAUGUUUUAUGGAUCUAAUAGUCAAGCAGUAGCCAUGUAUCCAAUGAAGUUGUAUUUUCAAGAACAAAAAUAUGUACUAGUAUAUAGUUUAGAAGUUGAUAUCUCCCAAGGUGAAUUGAAGCAUACAACCAUGAUGCAGCCAAACUUGAUUAUGCUAAAAAAAUGCUCCCAUGUCCAAAAUUUCAAUCAAUGUGCAACCACUAGAGGUACCACCUUUUUUUAUUACAACAUUCUAAACAUUACCUUCAUUCAUUCAGCAGGUACCGAAGACUGGACGCAACUGAAGUUCUUGAUAUGAAGUCGAACCAAAUCUGAUACUUGGCUUGCUGGAAGAGCCGGAUGAGCUUUGGUCGUGAUGUUGUUUCCACAAGAAAAAGUUGUGGUUCAUUGAGUUCCUGUAAAUUGCCAUCUUUCUUUGCUUGACUUGGACACUACUGUAGUAAUCAUGAUGGCCACUACCUCCUCGUUCAUAGUCUUCCUAUAUUCCCAUCGCUGUAUGCAUCAGCUGGACAUCUGGUGUUCUGUCGAUUAUCCUCUCUUUGACGAUUGUGUUGUACUUAUCUGAAAGGAACACGCCACGGCCUGGUGGCCAUGAAUCGAGGUCCCGUUUUCGGGAUAACAAUCAAAAAGCUAUGAAACGAUUAUGGGACGGAGGGAGUAGAUCUCAAUCAUGCUUUUUAGAAGUCACUGUAAUGAAUUAGUUUUUCUAGUAUUGUAUUGUUCUACAUUCAGAACCAUUCAAUCCCUGGAAGACUAAGCAACGAUUCAUUCAUAUGGACAUUUUGUUGUUCAUUUUCAGAAGAUAAUAUUUUCAGCCAAAGCUGUUGCUUGCAUCUAAAGCUUGACCUAAUCAGUGCUGUUUUCAGCCAUGUUUUCGUUUUAAGUUGUUCAGUGGUGGCCUUGAUGCUUAAUUGAAGUCAAUUUUUUAGGUUAAAGAAGAAAUUGAGUUGGCCCUCGCAAAUCAUGCUGCUAUGACGACAAG